GCAGGACCAGUCCCAGCUGCUCUGCAAGGCACGGGCCAGGCAGCUCUUGAAGCGCUGUGCAGAGCUCAGCCCACAGCAGACGCUUCCAGGAGAUGCCGUUCCUGCAGUGCCCAAACAAUGCUGGGGCAGCUGGGAUGUGCCAGGCUGUCUCCUGCUCACCUGGCCUUCCUCCUCCUUCUCCUCCUCCUCCUGCUGCUGCUGCUGGUGCUGAGUGAGUUGGGGGCUGGCUUUGCCUUGGGACUCAGCACUGGAGGGCUGCUGAGCAGGGCAGGACAGGGCCCAACCUGGGCACAGGGCAGGACACAUGGGAAAGGGUGUGUGGAGCACAGGGGAAAGAGCUGAUUUAGGGAGGGCAGGAGGACAGUUGCUUCCUGCAGCUCCCAUGGACCUCUGAGCAACGGGAGCGGUUUCCAGCCCCUCUGAGGGAGUCUGGUUCAUGGCAUGAGACUUGGUAGAUGCUUAAGUGCUUCAGCGAGCCAGAAGCAUCCACCUGGAACCACAAAACCAACCAAAAUGGGUUUGGGGAAGUAUCAAACAGGAGACAAAGGACCUGCAGAAUGGAGCCACGUGGCUGGGAAGGUUCUGGCCCAGCACAGCCUUAGCAGUGGGAACGUGGAGAGGGGCACGGGGCCGAGCUGGGUUGCUGCCCCUCUGACCAAAACCCUCUGUGCCCCAUGGUGCAGGUGCCGAUGUGAUGGCCCAGGACAUCUGCAGCUCCCCAGGGGGUGGUGACCUCCCAGCUCCUGAUCUCUCUAUGAUCCCCACUGCUGCACAGGAUGACGAACAGGUUUUGUUUUGGUGCAUAAUUGAUCAGAAGUCUCCUGCCACCCGAAUCAUCUUCUGCAAGGAUGGGGUCGAGGUACACAGCCUGAGAGCUCAACAUCGGAAGGGGACCUACUACAUGCUCUUCCCCAUGACGAGGGGGAGCACAGGGACAUACACAUGUGGAUACCAGCACAAGAACAACAGCAAUCGAGUGAGGAACUCUCCCCUCAGUGCUUCUAAGAACCUGAGCUUCGCAGGUGCUGGUGUGAUGGCCCAGGACAUCUGCAGCUCCCCAGGGGAUGGUGACCUCCCAGCUCCGUCCCUCCAUAUGAAAGCCAAUGUCACUUUGGAUGCAGCACAGGAGGGAGAACAGAUUUUGUUUCGGUGCCAAAUAGUCAUGAAGUCUCCUGUCACACGAAUUGUCUUCUGCAAGGAUGGGGUGGAGUUUCACAGCCUGAAAGCCCAACAAAAGAAGGGAACCUACUACAUGCUCUUCACCACAACGAGGCGGAGCACGGGGUCAUACACAUGUGGAUACCAGCACAAGGACAACAGCAACCGAGUGAGGAACUCUGCCCUCAGUGCUCCCCAGAACCUGAGAGUCACAGGUGAGUCCUGGCAGUGGGGGAUGGGCAGGAAACACUCCCAGGCCCCUCAGAGCCCAGGUGAGUGA
This 1438-nucleotide long non-coding RNA is filed under the name Manacus vitellinus (golden-collared manakin). Its description in RNAcentral is "lncRNA (ENSMVIG00005015363.1)". The record is from RNAcentral. Lineage: Eukaryota; Metazoa; Chordata; Aves; Passeriformes; Pipridae.